This 334-nucleotide ribosomal RNA is filed under the name Candidatus Bathyarchaeota archaeon. Its description in RNAcentral is "partial 23S ribosomal RNA". It matches the Rfam family "Archaeal large subunit ribosomal RNA", at positions 2573 to 2903 of the family's 2987-position model. Lineage: Archaea; Thermoproteati; Candidatus Bathyarchaeota. The record is from RNAcentral.
AUCGACCCCGCGGCUUGGUACCUCGAUGUCGGCUCUUCCUAUCCUGGCCCUGCAUAAGGGGCCAAGGGUGAGGCUGCUCGCCUAUUAAAAGGGAACGUGAGCUGGGUUUAGACCGUCGUGAGACAGGUCGGACUUUAUCUGCUGGGAGUGCGGGCUGCCUGAGGGGAAAGGGUCCCUAGUACGAGAGGAACGGGACGCUGUGGCCUCUAGUUAACCGGUUGUCCGACAGGGCAGUUGCCGGGCAGCCACGCCGCUGAGGAUAAGGGCUGAAAGCAUCUAAGCCCGAAGCCUCUCCUGAAAAUAGGCAGCCAUUCCCGUUUCACGGGACGAAGGC